RNAcentral lists this ribosomal RNA (472 nucleotides) under uncultured bacterium. RNAcentral's name for it is "bacterial SSU rRNA". It matches the Rfam family "Bacterial small subunit ribosomal RNA", at positions 328 to 793 of the family's 1533-position model. The record is from RNAcentral.
CACCAUCACUCCUACGGGAGGCAGCAGUGGGGAAUAUUGCACAAUGGGGGAAACCCUGAUGCAGCCAUGCCGCGUGUGUGAAGAAGGCCUUCGGGUUGUAAAGCACUUUCAGUAGGGAGGAAGGUAGUGUAGUUAACACCUGCAUUAUUUGACGUUACCUACAGAAGAAGCACCGGCUAACUCCGUGCCAGCAGCCGCGGUAAUACGGAGGGUGCGAGCGUUAAUCGGAAUUACUGGGCGUAAAGCGCAUGCAGGCGGCCUGUUAAGUCAGAUGUGAAAGCCCGGGGCUUAACCUCGGAAUUGCAUUUGAAACUGGCAGGCUAGAGUCUUGUAGAGGGGGUAGAAUUUCAGGUGUAGCGGUGAAAUGCGUAGAGAUCUGAAGGAAUACCAGUGGCGAAGGCGGCCCCCUGGACAAAGACUGACGCUCAGAUGCGAAAGCGUGGGGAGCAAACAGGAUUAGAUACCCUGGUAG